GGGUAUUUCUAUCCCAUAGAGGCAGCAGCCAUCUUAUGGAAACUCAUAUUAUUAUUAGCUUUGGCUGAUAUAAUUGUUCAUGUGCGACUUACUUUCUUUCUUUCUUUCUUCUUUUUUCUGUUUAAUUUUCAAACUGAUUCAUGUGUCAUGAGUUGCAUGCAUAUUUUCAAUUAUUAGCAUAUGCAUAUAUAUAUGGUUAGGGGAGGACGGUGAUGACAGAAAAUUGCUUUGUUCGCUCGUCGUGCGUAAUGGCAAACUCUGCCUUGCCGACUCUGCUUUACUGUUCUGAGUCCGAGUCCUCUCUUUCUUUAGUUAUUAUGAAGAUGUCCUUUUCCAUUUCUCUUUUCAGUUUAAUCAAGUGCUCGAAUACUUAUUCGUCGUGUGUUCAAUUACUCUGAAAUUCCUGAUUCAUUGCGAUUUUAAGGAUUUAUAAGUAAAUUGAUUAGAGACCUUCACUUGAUAGAUUAACUGUUCUCUUUUCUCAAGCAUAUUAACAGCUCAUUCUUCUUCGUUGUGCCUUUCUUGGUAACGAGAUCCAACGGCAGGUUAUGAGGAGCUUCAAGGCUAACAUUCGGGAAUCAUCUGUGAAGCCCUGCUCAAUCCAUCAUCAAAAGUUUACAGAUUCAGCACAGGAUGCCACACUCCAGUUUCUCUGACUAGCUAUACACCACCAAACUCUAUCGUCCCACAAUUCCUCUGGUUAUCUGUGAAAUCACACCCUACUACAGCAACAUAGCACGGUGCUCACACGGAAGUAACAGCAGCAGUCCCACGAGAAGUUGCAGCUUGAUUUGCUAAAAAUCGGACAACAACACAGGUAAUGUUGUCCGCACUGCCUCUCUGGUAUGCCUCCUGCAGCAAACUCCUUGCCGCUUGCUCAGGAUCCUCGAUUGGUCUGGUCAUUUCAACAGCUUCCUGAGAAAAAAGAAAAAGAAUAUAUAAAGCAUCGGAUGGUGCUAGCAGCAAUGAACAACCCGCUCAUUCUGUCUUCAAAUUGUUUGACAAAAAUUUAACGUUAUAAAGGACAAAUUCCUUCUCUAGUCUA
This is a long non-coding RNA of Ricinus communis (castor bean), 1045 nucleotides long. RefSeq lists it as uncharacterized. Lineage: Eukaryota; Viridiplantae; Streptophyta; Magnoliopsida; Malpighiales; Euphorbiaceae. The record is from RefSeq and is a predicted model, not a curated record. The transcript has 2 exons.